Molecule: long non-coding RNA, 1967 nt
Organism: Cyprinus carpio (common carp)
Lineage: Eukaryota; Metazoa; Chordata; Actinopteri; Cypriniformes; Cyprinidae
Source: Ensembl
GUUUUCUCUCUGGGGUUACAAGUCUUAUUUUAGUUAUUUAGUUAAAUAAUACCCUAAAAAAUAUAAUACAAUACAAUAUAAUAUAACAUAAUAUGUUUAUAGUUUGUUUACUUAUUCUACAUCCCCAAACCACCUCUCCCUCCUUUUUUAUUUAUUAUUAUUAUUAUUAUUAUUAUUAUUAUUAUUAUUAUUAUUAUUAUUAUUAUUAUUAAGUACUUUAAAGUUUUUCAUAAUUCCCAAUAACCUACUUUUUACAUUUACUUUCAAUAAGGUCCGAUUUUUUUUUUUCUUCUUCUUCUUCUUAUUUAUCUUUAGAAUGUUAUUUCUAAAGACAGGGUUCCUGCGUUGUGAUUGUCGUGCAGUUGUAGUGUUCCUUCUUUGUCCACACACGCAGCUGCUCAAAGGCUUUAACACGAUGUCCGAGUGGAUAAAACACGAAUAUGGUGAAUAAAAUACACGUUGUAUCAAGACUGAAGAUGUCUGAUGCGAGCGCAGCGUGAUGAUGGUGGUCACGUGACGCGCCUCUGCUGAAGGUGCGGGGUAAAGGUGGCACACAGAAAGGCACAGCGAAGAGCGCGACACUACACACUCUCCAACCGACUUCAACACGACAACACAAACAUAAUGUCUAUUAGCCGGAAAAACUGGUCUGCUUUGUCAACGCUGGCUCGACAGUGGACUGUGGAGGAUGAGGAAGAGGUGGAGAGAGAGAAGAGGAGGAAGACAAGGGAGUCUACAGCAGACUCGGAUGAAAGUCCCACUGAAGAGACCAAACCACAAACCAGUAGCGGGCCUGAUGAUUCUGAAGACUCCGGUGGCGGUCUGGCCCAGCUGCAGCUGGACUUUGUGGAGAUGCUGCGAGUCCGUGACGAACGGCGGAGGAUGAGGCACGUUGAAACCCUGAGGAAGAAUAAGGGGGAAGAUGAUGGUGGCAGAGAGGGCAGCCCGGAUAAGGAGCCCCAUGUGGAGCUGCUGGGGGAACAGCAGGACGAGGAACUCUUCAAGAGCGUGCAGCACUGCGUGGAGACCUUCAUGUCACCAGAACCUCCCACCAACUCCACAGACUCGGAGACACAGGAGAAGCAAAAAAAUGAAGACACGAACCAAGAUUCAGCAAACUCCCCAACUCCCCCAAAAGCAUCCCGAAAGUUUGUGAGCUCUCUCUCCAUCUCCUUUGAUAAGAGUCCCACAUCACCCCCAGCAACAAGCAGACUGGUUUCUCCUCUGAGCUCCAAGUCUCCGCCCCCUCAGUCUCCGAGGGCGGAGUCACCACACAGCUCCACCCACUCCGGCUCUAUGAGCCCCACACCGAAUGGAGACGCAGCGAGACAUGAAAAUGGGUCACCGAGCAAUUUCGAACCAGCUGCGAAACCUGCGUUCACACGGCAGAGCUCCAGAACGGUGUCCUUCAGGAUGAUGAAGAAGAAGGAGGAAGAAGACAUGCCGUUACAGAGAAGCGCAAGUGUGCGGAUUGCAGCGAAGACCUUUGAAUCCAAUAAGAGCUCCAACCAAGAGGAGGAGCAGCAGACCCCGUUCCAGAGAAACUCCCGGCAGAGGCUGUCAUCUCGCGCCAUUCAGGAGAAAAUGGAACGACUGACUCAAGCCUCACAGAAAUGGGAAAUAUCCAAGUCCCCAGUGGUGCACAAGACUGUGUGUUUAGCGGAUGAGGUGUCAAGGAAGAGGGAGCUGUUUGAGAAAGAACAGGAGGGAUCCGACAGAAGCCAUGUGUUCUCCAAACAGGAUUUUCGCAGCUUUUCUUCAGGAAUCUCUGAUCGAAUUAAUCGCUGGGUUCAGAAGAAAACAUUUACUGUGUCAUCAUCAGCAUCUUCAUCAUCAUCAUCUCAUAGUCCUUUGGUAAGGGCUGCUUUAUGUAGGCAUGAGCUUACAUUUAUCUUUUUCUUUGUUUGCAUUUUUUCAUAGGGAAAACAUGAGAAGGUACACAAUAAAAAAAAAUGGUGUGAACCUCA